GUCAGGGUUCUCUAGUGUUGUGCAAACCCCAUAGCUAGAAGCUAGGGGCUUGCGGAAUACUCCACCUGACCAGACUACUCGUUUAAGGCAAGAGUUAAGGACCCACUUCAGGAUGCUUGCUAGUUCUGAACCCUGGAACCGAACGAUUAAACAAGCUUAUGGAGAAUAAACCAGUGUCGUUUGGAUAGUACCGACCUUAAACAAUGUCGAAGCAAACAUUAC
Molecule: non-coding RNA, 222 nt
Organism: Tolypothrix campylonemoides VB511288
Lineage: Bacteria; Bacillati; Cyanobacteriota; Cyanophyceae; Nostocales; Tolypothrichaceae
Source: Rfam